RNAcentral lists this ribosomal RNA (446 nucleotides) under uncultured bacterium. RNAcentral describes it as "partial 16S ribosomal RNA". It matches the Rfam family "Bacterial small subunit ribosomal RNA", at positions 338 to 795 of the family's 1533-position model. The record is from RNAcentral.
CCUACGGGUGGCAGCAGUCGAGAAUCAUUCACAAUGGGGGAAACCCUGAUGGUGCGACGCCGCGUGGGGGAAUGAAGGUCUUCGGAUUGUAAACCCCUGUCAUGUGGGAGCAAAUUACAACGAUAGUACCACACGAGGAAGAGACGGCUAACUCUGUACCAGCAGCCGCGGUAAUACAGAGGUCUCAAGCGUUGUUCGGAAUCACUGGGCGUAAAGCGUGCGUAGGCUGUUUCGUAAGUCGUGUGUGAAAGGCGCGGGCUCAACCCGCGGACGGCACAUGAUACUGCGAGACUAGAGUAAUGGAGGGGGAACCGGAAUUCUCGGUGUAGCAGUGAAAUGCGUAGAUAUCGAGAGGAACACUCGUGGCGAAGGCGGGUUCCUGGACAUUAACUGACGCUGAGGCACGAAGGCCAGGGGAGCGGAAGGGAUUAGAUACCCGUGUAGUC